Molecule: ribosomal RNA, 253 nt
Filed under: uncultured bacterium
Lineage: Bacteria
Description: partial 16S ribosomal RNA
Rfam family: Bacterial small subunit ribosomal RNA
Source: RNAcentral
UACGGGGGGGGCAAGCGUUGUUCGGAAUUACUGGGCGUAAAGGGCGCGUAGGCGGUUUGCUAAGUCGAAUGUGAAAACUCCGGGCUUAACCCGGAGCCUGCAUUCGAUACUGGCAGGCUAGAGUUCUGGAGGGGAUAGCGGAAUUCCUGGUGUAGCGGUGAAAUGCGUAGAUAUCAGGAGGAACACCGGUGGCGAAGGCGGGUCUCUGGGCCGAUACUGACGCUGAGGAGCGAAAGCGUGGGGAGCGAACAGG